UUGAGGCUAGUGAGACUAGUGACCACCAUAUGAGGUUUAGUGCGUUUUUACUUAAUUUACCAUUCUUAUUGUUUAUUCUUACUUUACGAAAUUGGAUUUGUCAGUAAUUUUGGCGGACCAAACCAAAGGUUUUUUUUUUUUUUUAGGGAAUAGCAAGAAAGUCAUACAAUAUAGGUUAGAAGGUUAGUAAAUUAGUAGACGUUAAGUCGAACUCGAGACCUUAGUGAGGUUGGAAGAAGUACCCAACUAACUGAGCCAACUUGCAAGUUCGACCAAACCAAGGUUGUAUCAUUAUCGAUCGGAGCUAAUCGUUACUAUCAUAAUGAAAGGACUCACUACAAAGGCAAAAGUCCAACCAUGUACCUCAAUCUCAGCUCUCCAGACUCUGAUAGAAAGAAAAGAAAGCCCUAAAUUGUACGACGGUGGAAGGGGAUCACAAUAUUGGAGACUGGGUCAACAUUUAAGUGGAAGGGAAUUACCAUAGUCUGGUUUUUAUAUGAUUUGAACAAAAGCCUUCUAGCUUUACAAAUUACAGAGCUCACUUGAGUUUUGCACUCCACUUUUUAUUUGGUGGAAUGGGCAUUGAAGUUGCUCAUUGUUUGGCUUCUAAGGGGCUGGGGGGUCUUGUACCUGGAUUAAUAGGCCCCUUUGUAGCUCCAUCCUCCAUUAAGCAUGGAUGGGUGGUAUGUUUCUGGUUGAUUCUCUGAUCCUCAUUAUCAUAUAAAUUAAAAUAAAAACCACAACUAAUGGUGGUGGGCAGUAGAGAAUCGAGGGUUGUAGUAAACCACAUUAUAACUCCUUUUAUUGUAGUUGAUUUCCAAAAAAAUAAUAAUAAUACAACAAAACUUAUUUAUGUAAGAUUGCUGAUCAUACAAGUAGAGUUUCCCCAGCAUAAUUAACAAAAGAAAGAGAGAGAGAGAGAGAGAGAGAGAAUAUUUACAACAUCAGGCCACCAACAUAAGUUUGGAGAAUUAUCUUUGAGAUAGCUAAACAACAGAAUUGGUAGGCUGAGAUGCCAAACCAACCUCCACUUAUCAUAUUCAUUUACCGUAUUGAUUCUCAAAUAGAAGAUUUG
Long non-coding RNA from Rhododendron vialii, 1075 nucleotides. RefSeq lists it as uncharacterized. The record is from RefSeq and is a predicted model, not a curated record. Lineage: Eukaryota; Viridiplantae; Streptophyta; Magnoliopsida; Ericales; Ericaceae. The transcript is spliced from 2 exons.